Molecule: ribosomal RNA, 388 nt
Filed under: uncultured bacterium
Lineage: Bacteria
Description: bacterial SSU rRNA
Rfam family: Bacterial small subunit ribosomal RNA
Source: RNAcentral
UCGAGAAUCUUCCGCAAUGGGCGAAAGCCUGACGGAGCGACGCCGCGUGGAGGACGAAGGCCUUCGGGUUGUAAACUCCUGUCACGGAUUAAGAAUGGCUUGGUGUUAACAGCAUCAAGUUUGACGUAAGUCCGAGAGGAAGCACUGGCUAACUCUGUGCCAGCAGCCGCGGUAAUACAGAGAGUGCGAACGUUGUUCGGAAUUACUGGGCUUAAAGCGCACGUAGGCGGCUCCGCAAGUGUCGGGUGAAAUCCCACGGCUUACCCGUGGAACUGCCCGGCAGACUGCGGAGCUAGAGGAUGGUAGGGGAGAGCGGAACUCCUGGUGGAGCGGUGAAAUGCGUAGAUAUCAGGAGGAACACCGGUGGCGAAGGCGGUCUCUCGUGGUC